GGGCCGCAACUCCAUGGGAUGGUUACAAGCCCAAUUCAUCCCCCGGCAAAGGCCGAGCUCGCGAAGACCCCGGCCCCCAGGAACAAAGGGGUGGGGGUGGGGACUGUGUUGUCUCACCGGUGUCUCACCGACUGAGAGGACGGGAACGGGGGCAGUGGCGGCCCCUCCUGCCUGUGUCCGAACCCAAAGAGCCCCGUGAGCGCGACGCGCAUCGCCCCGCGCGGGGCUUUGCGAACAAAAGCCUGCGCGCUUCGGCCAAGCGGAGCAGGAAAGGAAUGCCCCGGGCGAGGCGGCCGCGCUUCUGGAACCUUCCGGCGGGAGCCUCCGCCGGGAACGCCCCGAGCAGGCCCGCGGCAACUCCCCGGGGACCAGGCCGGCCAGGUGCAGGAGCACCGAGAUCCGGAACCUCGCUCCCCACACAGCGGGGCCCGGGCCGGCCAAUCCCCGCCGUGGAUGAUGGGGAAAGGCGAUUCUACGGCCCCGGCGUGAGACAGGCCGACAGGCCGCCGGGCAGCGGAAACUCCCGGGCGGGGAAGGGAACCCGGAGACCCAGAGAGAAAGAGGAGACCGGAGAGAGCUGGAGCAGAGGAAGCCAGAACGCGCGAGGGGGUGGCCGGGCCCAGACCGGAGUGCGGGGAGAUACGCUCAGAGUUUUGGGUGAAAGUGAUCCAAGAUUGCAGCAAGACCUGGUGUAAAGGAAUGACCAGAAUAAGAAAAUAUAAGGCUUUCUCUUACCCGCAUUGUGAUAUCCAGUAUAUGUUCCACAGCUAAUCUGUUUCCAGAACUCCCAGUGAAUUCAACGAGUAACAGCCUGCACAGAAAGAGUGUGGAAUAGAGAUCCAUAUUGAAGACAAAAUAGGAAUUGCCAGCCAGACCAGAUCAGAUCCAUGGUCCAUCUAGGUCAGUAUUGUCUCCAUCAGCAGCCAGAACUGGAUGCUUCAAAGAAAGCUGCAGGAAAACUCCCUAGUGAACAAUUAUGGAAUAAUCUUCCCCAAAGAAAGUUUCUUUCUAACUCACAGAAGUUAGUAAUUGGCUUAUGACCUGAAGCAUCAGAGUUUAUAUUCCUUUUAAAAACAGGUUUUUUUCCAUAUCUGAUUGAUGUAUCUGUGUAUGUUUUCAUUAUCUGAAUAAAUGUCUGAUCAUGGCUAGCCUACAUCAUAUCCCAUGGCAGUGAAUUCUACGGGUAACUUGUGUCUUGUGUAAAGUAAUUUCCUUGUAUUGGUUUUAAAUGUGUUGCCUUUCAAUGUCACUGAAUGUUUCCUUGUUCUAGUGUUAUGAAAGGGUAAAUAAGAGCUCCUCUCCUCUUUAUGGUGCUUUUUCUCGACCUUUCAAUUUUAUGUACAGCUCUGUUGAGGAGAGACAAACCGAGUACUAUGUUUAUGAUUUGGAUUGUAAAUUCCUGCCAUGUAUCGUUAGUAUAAACAUGGUUCAUUAUUCAAAUGGAUGCCCUUGAAUAUUUCCACUACAGUAACCAAUGUGGUUUCCUUUCAUUCUACACCAACUAACUUUUUCCAUCAUUUUAGUCUGUACUGCAUCUCGUUUCUUAUGCUCCUCUGUACCCAACAGCUUUCUCUGACUGCUACCACUCUUGGUUCCACGCUUUCUUUCAUGCGGCCUCUAUGCUCAGCACACUGACACUUUUAGUGUACCAUGAACCUUUUAAUACCCACUCCUCUGUCUCCAAACCUUCCUGGACUUGACCCAUUGCCCAGCUUAUGGCUGAGCUUGAGCCUAAACCUACUGAGUGCCAAGUAUCUUCUGCAAACUGCUGAGCCCCCUCAGCUCUGGUUGAAGUAUGUGGGAGUUGAGAGUGUUCAGCAAUUUGCAGGAUCAAGUCUUCAGAUGGCUAGCGCUUGUGGGCAGGGAGCUUGACCCAAAGGAACUGCUGGCACAACUCCUUUGAAGUCAAUGGAGUUACACCAGGGAUGAAUUUCUCCCGGUGCCUCUUUCUGGUUUUGUAAAGGCCAUUGCACACUUACUACUCUGUAAAUAAGAAACAUCUUUAAGGCUAAAAAAAACCCCAAACCAAACCUAGGCUUGUAGAACAUGGUUAGGUGCCCUUUCACACCCUAUUUGCUUUCCAGCCACCCACCUACAUGAGUUUUUCAGUGCUUAGUACAUUCUGUACACUUCCUUUUUAACCAUGGCCUGACACUUACUGAGUCAUUCUCACUGUGCACUGGGGAUGGGAGGGGGCAUUUCCUGCAGCUGACAGGCAAAAGUGUUCCUCAAGGGGAUUUGCCUAACUUGGGUGUUUCAAGGGACUGCCCAUGUUCACUGUGCAGGACUGUGGGCUGCAAAAAGACCAUUCUAAAGGAUUCAGGCAAAAAAAGAGAACAACCGUCAAGUAUAUUUUCCUUUGUAAUUCCCUUUCGCCUAUGCUCUUCCUGAAUUUAAUGCUGUUAUCUUGGAAGAGGAUUUUCCUGCUCAGCUGCCAUAACAAACAAGGGAUCCACUUGCAAUCUGCCUUGGGUUAUUGUAGAUGUUAAGCUCAUUUGGAUCCCUAUUGCUUAUGACUUGCUUUGAACAAGGAUAUGUUUGUGGGCGGUGAGGCUAGCAAAUCAGAAGGGAAACUAUUUAUUCGGAACUAAUUUAUUCUGGUGAAACUAACUGAGGAGGAGUGGGGAUGUUUGGAGAAGUGAGACUUUUACUUCUGGCCAAGAAGAUGGUGCAGCUGUGAAAGGAGGAAAACCAGUGACAUGGACAGCCAGGCUGCACAAUAUUUUAAACUCUGUUCUGUUGAAAUGCGUCUGCUCAUUAGAAGUAACCCACGGAGCUUACUACUAUUAUUAUCACCAAUUACUGUUUCCUAUCAAAGGGAACUGGAUGAGAGAAGUUAGAGUGUCUUGUUGUUUGCUUUGUUAGUCCCCAUUUGUGGAGACAUCAGAAUACAUGGCAGCAGUAAAAAAUGAGGAGCAUUCCCUAGUCCAGCUACUGCUGAUGUAUCAGGCCCUGAAGAAGCUGGAUAUUCUGCAUGUGAUGCGUGGAGAUGAGCUUGCUGACUACCACUCCCUCAAAAGUACAGGCUGUGGGGACAGGCCAGACAGUCACCUUUUGAAGACAUGAGGAGAAUGGAGAUGUCACAGGCUGCGCCCCUUUGUUAUCCUAGACCAAUGAUUCUCAGCCUUUCCAGACUGCCGUAUCCCUUUCAGGAGCCUGAUUUGUCUUGCAUACCCCAAGUUUUGCCUCACUUAAAAACUACUUGCUUACAAAAUCAGACAUAAAAAUACAGAAGUG
Long non-coding RNA from Dermochelys coriacea (leatherback sea turtle), 3237 nucleotides. RefSeq lists it as uncharacterized. The transcript is spliced from 4 exons. Lineage: Eukaryota; Metazoa; Chordata; Testudines; Dermochelyidae. The record is from RefSeq and is a predicted model, not a curated record.